RNAcentral lists this ribosomal RNA (495 nucleotides) under uncultured bacterium. RNAcentral describes it as "partial 16S ribosomal RNA". It matches the Rfam family "Bacterial small subunit ribosomal RNA", at positions 28 to 507 of the family's 1533-position model. The record is from RNAcentral.
GACGAACGCUGGCGGCGUGCCUAAUACAUGCAAGUAGAACGCUGAAGGAGGAGCUUGCUCUUCUGGAUGAGUUGCGAACGGGUGAGUAACGCGUAGGUAACCUGCCUGGUAGCGGGGGAUAACUAUUGGAAACGAUAGCUAAUACCGCAUAACAGUAGAUGUUGCAUGACAUUUACUUAAAAGGUGCAAUUGCAUCACUACCAGAUGGACCUGCGUUGUAUUAGCUAGUUGGUGGGGUAACGGCUCACCAAGGCGACGAUACAUAGCCGACCUGAGAGGGUGAUCAGCCACCCUGGGACUGAGACACGGCCCAGACUCCUACGGGAGGCAGCAGUAGGGAAACUUGGGCAAUGGACGGAAGUCUGACCGAGAAACGCCGCGUGAGUGAAGAAGGUUUUCGGAUCGUAAAGCUCUGUUGUAAGGGAAGAAAGGGUGUGAGAGUGGAAAGUACACACUGUGACGGUAUCUUACCAAAAAGGAACGGCUAACUACGUG